AGCAGUAGCCGCGGUAAUACGGAGGGUGCAAGCGUUAAUCGGAAUUACUGGGCGUAAAGCGCACGCAGGCGGUCUGUCAAGUCAGAUGUGAAAUCCCCGGGCUUAACCUGGGAACUGCAUUUGAAACUGGCAGGCUAGAGUCUUGUAGAGGGGGGUAGAAUUCCAGGUGUAGCGGUGAAAUGCGUAGAGAUCUGGAGGAAUACCGGUGGCGAAGGCGGCCCCCUGGACAAAGACUGACGCUCAGGUGCGAAAGCGUGGGGAGCAAACAGGAUUAGAUACCCCAGUAGUCCCUGUCUCUUAUAC
RNAcentral lists this ribosomal RNA (303 nucleotides) under uncultured bacterium. RNAcentral describes it as "partial 16S ribosomal RNA". It matches the Rfam family "Bacterial small subunit ribosomal RNA", at positions 507 to 807 of the family's 1533-position model. The record is from RNAcentral.